This 459-nucleotide ribosomal RNA is filed under the name uncultured bacterium. RNAcentral describes it as "SSU rRNA". It matches the Rfam family "Bacterial small subunit ribosomal RNA", at positions 26 to 518 of the family's 1533-position model. The record is from RNAcentral.
AGAAUCAACGCUGGCGGCGUGCCUAACACAUGCAAGUCGCACGAGAAAGGGGAGCAAUCCCUGAGUACAGUGGCGCACGGGUGAGUAACACGUGAAUGAUCUACCUCCGAGUGGGGAAUAACUGAGAGAAAUCUUAGCUAAUACCGCAUAAUACCCACGGGUCAAAGCAGUAAUGCGCUUGGAGAGGAGUUCGCGGCAGAUUAGUUAGUUGGCGGGGUAAUGGCCACCAAGACGAUGAUCUGUAUCCGGCCUGAGAGGGCGCACGGACACACUGGAACUGAAACACGGUCCAGACUCCUACGGGAGGCAGCAGUGGGGAAUUUUGCGCAAUGGGGGAAACCCUGACGCAGCAACGCCGCGUGGAGGAUGAAGCCCCUUGGGGUGUAAACUCCUUUCGAUCGGGAAGAUAAUGACGGUACCGAUAUAAGAAGCCCCGGCUAACUUCGUGCCAGCAGCCGC